GAGCCCUGAUGUCAAGAAUUAAUAUAGACGGUGAUGGUGGCAAGGGUGCCUCCAUAAGGUGCCAGAAGUCCCAGCCUGGAGCCAGAGGCUGCUAUUGCAAGCCAGAUGGGGGAUGAUCUAUGUUAGGUGUCAGAAAGGUGGUGUACGCAGGAAGGCGAGGCAAAGAUGUGAUUAGACUACCUUCAAUAAGACAGGGCAACAGACACAUGACAGAAAGUGACUGGGAGAGAGAGACUUUGAAAGGACUGGCCUGAAACUGAACUGGGUUUCCAAGUUUAUGGUUGAG
This is a long non-coding RNA of Sardina pilchardus (European sardine), 286 nucleotides long. RefSeq lists it as uncharacterized. The record is from RefSeq and is a predicted model, not a curated record. NCBI's taxonomy places the organism in Eukaryota, Metazoa, Chordata, Actinopteri, Clupeiformes, Clupeidae. The transcript has 3 exons.